This 2509-nucleotide long non-coding RNA is filed under the name Volvox carteri. Its description in RNAcentral is "long non-coding RNA (VCAR_LNC000752)". The record is from RNAcentral. Lineage: Eukaryota; Viridiplantae; Chlorophyta; Chlorophyceae; Chlamydomonadales; Volvocaceae.
AACACACAAAAUGCAACAGCAGUGCGGUAUUCCAGCAAGAGUUGAGAAAUGGUGCGCUGCGUUUUUUUUAAUUAUUAAAAAAGAAGAGUACGGAAGAAAAGAAGAAGAAGAAGAAGUAGUGUGAACCAACCAAUUGAGUGUGUGAGGACACUAAUGACAAAGACACUGAAGAACAUAACGACACCAACCGGCUGCUAGGGAGCUAAGCAGUCGGCGCUGGUUCCAGUUCCAGUGUGUGUUAGCAUGAGCAUCAUCUCGGAAAUACAGAAGUACGACGAGGAUGGUGGCCAGUGGGGGUUUUGCACUAUUAAGUACACAUGCAGGCGGUGUUAGAUACCAUGUUGAGCUGGAUGGUGGUUUUGGCUGCUUUCGAUUUGGCAAGCUAUAUACAUAUACAUGUGUGCAGGAUUUGAACAAUGCAAUCAUACACGAAGAGCGAUUUUAGGUUAUGCAUGAAGAGCAAUUUUGUCCUAUACUGCGUCUGGUGAUUGUGUGGUACAGAUGGCUGGCUAGUAGCUAGCACUGCGAAAAAACCAACUCGAGGUGCUGGACGUGCGCUUUAGUACGUGUACGUAUUUUUACGGUGUGUGCCGUACUGUAUGACGGCCGCCAAGUACAGGUGGGUAGCUGCCGGUGACACGCAGACAGGCGGGUGGCUCCCCGGGUGGCCCUGCAGGCAGAACACACACACACACACACACACACACACACGAUGGAGGUUGCACCAAAAGGCCAACGUUCGAUGUGACCACAAUGUGUUGUGUCGUAGUGAGUGUAUGUAAUCAGCGCACUCCUGACACUGACAGCACAGCGGUGUCUGUUAUAAUCUGUUGUGCUGUGUGUGUCUCCUGCGCAUGAGAGAGAAGAGCAUUGUUUUACUUGUUGUGAGAUAUGUACUGCUUAUACUGAACGUGUCUUUCCUCUGGUGCCGCGGGCCGUCUCUAAAACCUGAGAGGUGGCUUGCUUUAUUCGUGUUAUGAUGCCGAUCGCGUCGUGCUAUCCUGAGCUCCUGUUCGCCUGCCAAUAGGUGGGGACUGGGAACUGUGUGCCCCGGGCGCAUGUAUGCAUGAAGGUGUGUGUGUGUGGUUACUAUGUGGCCAUGUCGACCCAAGUGACUCGGAAGUGCUGCAGCUGUAUACAUACAUACAUACAUGCAUACAUAUGCAUGCAUACGAAACAACCAAUGCCGUACGGGCUGCAAUAGCUAGGGAGGACGGUAGGUCCAUUUUCUGCGAGUUCAAAGUCGUUUGGUGUGUGUGGGGGGGGCCGCUGAACUUGGUUGUCGGUCCAGCCCGACACAGGUGGAGUGGGGUAGGGCUUGGUAAGGUAAGGGCAGUGGUGAUGGUAUCGCCGGUAGUGGAGCUGAGGUAAAGGAAAUUAUUGCUUUAUUGCCGCCAACGGACCCUGUGCGUGAAAACCAUUGUACAGGGCCGGCGUUGGGAAAGGGGGGGGGUAAGGAAAUAUAUGGCUAUGAAAUAAAUAUCACAUCUGCGCCUCUAGAAGCUACGGAUCAACGGACCCUCGUAUUGCCUGGGUUUAUAGUUUAGAGUGUAAAACCCUAAAACCCCCAAAACCUAUCUUGGCACAUACGUGCAUCUUUUCAUCCAUCCAUUCUUUCAUAUACAUAUGCGAGCGACGUCACCUUAAGGGGAAUUCUUUCCUCUGCUGCUAUCUUCCCGUCCCAGUAUACAGUUGUGUAAUGUUAUGGGGGGUGCGGGCAGGGCAACAACCCCCCCAUCAGACAUGCUGUAACCUCACUCACUCAUUCAAUCACAUUUCAUUCGCUUACUCACAAGCAAUCCAUGUACUUGAGAAAGAGGCGCAAGAACGUUUUGAAAGUUCGCACGUUGUUGCGCAGAGCCGCCGGGUCUUGUAACCCCGCGUCCGUCCGAGUCAGCAAGAAGUCCGUUCGUCUGUCGGUCUGUCAUGACGCACCUUGGUACUCUUGGGCAAGAGCACUCGUAACGUUCUCAUCAACCAAACAUUAACAAGCAAAUGUACGACGCUCCCUUUUCCCCUCAACGAGAUUAAGCAUCUCAUGUGGCCGACAAAGGAUAGCUGCUCCCGGAACUCAAAAAGCGUCAAUUCUCUCCCUAUCUCCCGCGGCCUAUUGUAUCAAUCACAACCCGCCAGCACUGGCAAACAGGGACCCCGUACACCACACCAUCACCACCAUGACCAUCGUAGUCACCAUAGUCUUCGGCUUUACAUCACCACCACCACUCGCCCCACAUCACCACCAAAGUCCGCUCCGCAGUUGCACUCACACUGUUCACCAACCAACAUCCAAUUCCUACUAACUACUCGCCAACCACCAGCGGCGCCUGAAUCAACCACUCGCCCCUCUUCACCACUUUCUGGACAUGAAUAAAGCUGUCUCUCCCCUCGAAAAAGCCCCGAACGAGCACCUUCCUUUCAACCUCACCCGCACUCCCAUCGCCCGCACCCGCACCCGCGCCCCAUUCCGUUGUUUCCACCCCCACCCCCACCCGACUGACAAACAGCGACC